Long non-coding RNA from Serinus canaria (Common canary), 814 nucleotides. RefSeq lists it as uncharacterized. The record is from RefSeq and is a predicted model, not a curated record. The transcript is spliced from 2 exons. NCBI's taxonomy places the organism in Eukaryota, Metazoa, Chordata, Aves, Passeriformes, Fringillidae.
GAGCUGCGCGUGCCCGGCUGAGCGCACCCCCGAGCCCCGCGCGCGUGCGCGGCGCCUUCGCCCUGUCCGCGUUGGGUGUGGGGAGCGUUGAGUGCGGAACACAAACAAACGUAAAAACAGCGUUUUAUGGGUGUCUCAAUGCCACAUAUGGCUCCCAUAUUCGAGCAUCUCUGCUGUGGAGGUGACACCACCCUCCACACAUCAGGAGACUCCGGAGGAGACCAGAUCUGCAACAGUGGAGAUGCUUGGGGUGAGACCACCUCUUCUGUCCCUGAAUGUCCAUGGUCACUUGUCACCACGUCCUGCCCUGCAGAGUGGAUGUGCUGGUUUUGGCUGGUCUAGAGUUAAUUUGCUUCACAGUAGCUGGUCUGGGGCUGUGUUCUGGAUUUGUACUGAACACAGGGUUGAUAAUGUAGUGAUGUUUUUGUUAUUGCUGAGUAGGACUUACACAGAGCUGAGGCCAUUCCUGCUUUUCCUACAGCCAGGCUGGUGAGGAAGCUGAGUGUACAGGGGAGGCUGGGAGGAAACACAGCCAGGACAGGUGACCCAAACUGACCAAAGGGAUAUUCCAAACCAUGUACUUAGGAUGAAUAAAUAAAGUGGAGGGAAGAAGGAGGAAGGGGGAGGUGUUUAGAAUGAUGGUGUUUGUUUUCCAAAGUAACUGUUUUGUGUGAUGGAACCAUGUUCAUGCUCUCCUGGAGAUGGCUGAACACCUGGCUGCCUAUUGGAAACAGUGAAUUAAUUCUUGGUUUUACUUUGCUUGUGUAAUUGGCUUUUGCUUUCCUUAUUAAAUGGUCUCUGUCUCAAUCCACAA